This 492-nucleotide ribosomal RNA is filed under the name uncultured bacterium. RNAcentral describes it as "partial 16S ribosomal RNA". It matches the Rfam family "Bacterial small subunit ribosomal RNA", at positions 29 to 507 of the family's 1533-position model. The record is from RNAcentral.
AGUGAACGCUGGCGGUAGGCCUAACACAUGCAAGUCGAACGGCAGCACCGUAAGAGCUUGCUCUUACGGGUGGCGAGUGGCGGACGGGUGAGGAAUACAUCGGAAUCUACUUUUUCGUGGGGGAUAACGUAGGGAAACUUACGCUAAUACCGCAUACGACCUACGGGUGAAAGCAGGGGAUCUUCGGACCUUGCGCGAUUGAAUGAGCCGAUGUCGGAUUAGCUAGUUGGCGGGGUAAAGGCCCACCAAGGCGACGAUCCGUAGCUGGUCUGAGGGGAUGAUCAGCCACACUGGAACUGAGACACGGUCCAGACUCCUACGGGAGGCAGCAGUGGGGAAUAUUGGACAAAGGGCGCAAGCCUGAUCCAGCCAUACCGCGUGGGUGAAGAAGGCCUUCGGGUUGUAAAGCCCUUUUGUUGGGAAAGAAAAGCAGCAGGUUAAUACCCCGCUGUUCUGACGGUACCCAAAGAAUAAGCACCGGCUAACUUCGUG